RNAcentral lists this ribosomal RNA (267 nucleotides) under uncultured bacterium. RNAcentral's name for it is "partial 16S ribosomal RNA". It matches the Rfam family "Bacterial small subunit ribosomal RNA", at positions 89 to 354 of the family's 1533-position model. The record is from RNAcentral.
UGGCGACCGGCGCACGGGUGAGUAACACGUAUCCCAACCUCGCCGAUGACUCGGGGAUAGCCUUUCGAAAGAAAGAUUAAUACCCGAUGGCAUAGUUCUUCCGCAUGGUAGAACUAUUAAAGAAUUUCGGUCAUCGAUGGGGAUGCGUUCCAUUAGCUUGUUGGCGGGGUAACGGCCCACCAAGGCAUCGAUGGAUAGGGGUUCUGAGAGGAAGGUCCCCCACCAUUGGAACUGAGACACGGUCCAAACUCCUACGGAAGGCAGCAG